UUUUCCUCAUUAUCUACCUUGUAAUUGUGAAGGGGGUGUAUGUCUUUCUAUUCCAUCUUGAAGUAAUAUUCAUCUUUAUACCAUUAUAGCUACUCUUAUUUUUGAUAAACAUGUAUGUAUAACCUGAGCAUUAGCUCAGUGGUCAUACCUCUCUGUGUUAGACCAGCCUAGGAACUUAAAUAUGAGUAGGAGAUUUCUCUUAAUGGAGCAGCCCAUGGCCCCCCUUCCUCGGAGUUUGAUAUAUCUGAGCCCCAGCUUACUUCUGAUGGUGCAAUUCGAUGGUUAUCUGUGUCCGUUAAUCUUGUGAUCUCUAGCUUACAUGAAAUGGUUUAAAACCACUUGUGGUUUCCUGUAUUGCUGCCAUAAACAUGACCCUUUCUUGUAAACUCUUCUAUAAUUGGUGGAUGAGUUCUCAGGAAAAAUUUGCCUACGUACCAUGAUCUCCUUUCUUUUUAAAUUUGAACUUCCAGAUCUUGUAGGACUCNNNNNNNNNNNNGAAAAUAAGAUCAGAUUAAUAGGAACAUUUAUUACCUUAUUUAUCUCCUGUAUCUCGAUUUUAUAUUGUAAAUCCAUUAGCACCUACAGGUUCUUUCCUUUUAGCUCUCAGAACAUGCUCAUAUGGUUCUGUAAUAAAUAUGAAAAUUGAUUAUUUCUAAAGGAAUAAAAGUAAUAGCGCACCGAGAUUUCUCUUAAAAAAAUUGUGAGAUUGUUUGGAAAUUCCCAGUGCUCGGAUCAUGAAGACUAAAGUUUGAAUCAUGUAAUGGUUACGUUGUAUGCACAUUAUUUGUCAGAUUAAUAAGGUCCAGGGGGCAUGUAUCGUAAUUACGAUCGAGAUGAAUGAGAGGGAUGGCAUCGGUAAACUAUUUCACUAAAUUAGAAAAUAUUAUAUUUCACUUUAUAUUCUUUCGCUCGAUUAGUGAUAUUGAUAGAUCCCCACAACAAAUCAAAUCAGUGAAUCAAUCUCUAACAGCAGCAAACGGGGGGAGGUCCUCAGGUAGAUCUAUUGUAUGGGGAGGGAUUUAUCCUGCUGAGUUGAGGCAGUUGUUAGAGACCUUGCUCCAAAAAAGUGAAAAAAAAGAGGUUUUUGUAAAAAAGAAACCAGAAGCAGGAAAAUAAUGUUUGCCCUAAACUUCAUUUUGUUUAUAAGUUGCGUGAAGCCAUACAUUGUGCUGCAUUCUGUAAACCUGUGCCUAGCUGCACUUUGUUGCUUGCAUUAACUAAUCUCAGGCCAACAAGAACUAGCCACCAACAUUACUCAUCAUUGGAUCUCUAGGGUACCAGUGGGGGAUUCAAAUGCAGUACCUCCUAUACUGCAAGGAGGUGUUCUAAGAGGAUUUUGAGGUGCCCACAUCAUGAGAAAGUUGAAUAUCUACAAAUACCUCAGCAAUUGACAGACACUAGAUCUCUCUUUGCUCCUAGGCAGGAGUUUUACAAAUUGAUUAACGUGACAAAAUUGGUUAACAUGACAAAUUUUUGCGAGCUCAUGAUCCAAAACUUGUUCAUAAUAUUGCAUAUGAAAUCCCAUAAGCACCCUGUUCAGGGAGCAACGAGCAUAUAACGUAGCUUCAGAUGACAAUCGACAAUGUUUGCUAUAUCAUGCACUCUCUCCAUAGAUUAUGAAAUAUGAAAGUCCUUUCAUAUUUAGAUGCAGAAGUUGAUACCAACAAUUCUGCUUUGCUCCUACACUUUGGAGGAUAGAGUGCGUUGCGCUUAAUCACCUAACCUUCGUAUAAGUAGAUAACCCAAUCAUCUUUUUUAUC
Molecule: long non-coding RNA, 1760 nt
Filed under: Phoenix dactylifera (date palm)
Lineage: Eukaryota; Viridiplantae; Streptophyta; Magnoliopsida; Arecales; Arecaceae
Description: long non-coding RNA (PDAC_LNC009402)
Source: RNAcentral